GGGCUGCAACCGGGAAUUGUGCGCAAUGGACGAAAGUCUGACGCCGCGACGCCGCGUGUGGGAUGACGGCCUUCGGGUUGUAAACCACUUUUGAUCCACCAGAGAUGGUGGGUAGAAUAAGCACCCGCUAACUUCGUGCCAGCAGCUGCGGUAAUACGAAGGGUGCGAGCGUUGCCCGGAAUUACUGGGCGUAAAGAGUUCGUAGGCGGUCUAACAAGUCGCAUUUCAAAGCCCAGAGCUUAACUUUGGAAAGGGAUGCGAUACUGUUAGACUUGGAGCAUUUAGAGGCUACUGGAACUGCCGAUGUAGGGGUGAAAUCCGUUGAUAUCGGCAGGAACUCCAAGGGCGAAGGCGGGUAGCUGGGAAUGCCUCGACGCUGAGGGACGAAAGCUAGGGUAGCGAAAGGGAUUAGAUACCCCGGUAGUC
Molecule: ribosomal RNA, 426 nt
Filed under: uncultured microorganism
Description: bacterial SSU rRNA
Rfam family: Bacterial small subunit ribosomal RNA
Source: RNAcentral